CAGGAGGCGACCUCCGUGUUAAAGACUGCAGAGAGGGCCCGCCAGGGAGCCCAGGAGAGGCAGCGGCAGCAGGGUGUCGUCCCCUCCCUGGUGACGUUCUUCCAUUCCCUGGAGCUGCUGGACGGUACGAUGGAGGAUUAUGUGGAGGGCAAUGUGCUCAACUGUCGGAAAUGGAAUGAGCAAUUCAAACUGAUGGAGGAGAUCGAGCUGCUCCAGGAGGCUGCAAAUCUGUACACCGUGCAGCCCGACGAGAACUUCGGGGCCUGGUUCCAGGCCGUGGAGCCCCUGAGCGAGGAGGAGAGACACCAGACCCCCAACCAAGGGCCCAGUGGUGGUGGUCGAUGACCCUCCUGAGACCAGCUGAGCUACAGCGGGGACACAGCAUUGACACUCAGGGUGCACAGGGCCACCUCCCCUGAUUCUGAUGAGGAGAACUUUGUGAUCCAUUUCUUGGGGUCCCCUGUUGGCCACGAGGGAAGGCACCAACCCCUAUUCUCCCUCCCCCCUUUUCCCCAGCACCUAUUUCCCUAUUUGGCGGGGCCAUAUUUUGUUGUCAAUG
Molecule: long non-coding RNA, 559 nt
Organism: Equus quagga
Lineage: Eukaryota; Metazoa; Chordata; Mammalia; Perissodactyla; Equidae
Exons: 5
Source: RefSeq, a predicted model, not a curated record